GAUGAAGAACGUAGCGAAAUGCGAUAAGUAAUGUGAAUUGCAGAAUUCAGUGAAUCAUCGAAUCUUUGAACGCACAUUGCGCCCCUUGGUAUUCCGAGGGGCAUGCCUGUUUGAGCGUCAUUAUAACCCCUCAAGCUCAGCUUGGUGUUGGGGCCUGCUGCACUGGCAGCCCUUAAAAUCAGUGGCGGCGCCAUCUGGCUCUAAGCGUAGUAAUUCUUCUCGCUAUGGAGUCCUGGUGGAUGCUUGCCAUCAACCCCCAAUUUUUCUAUGGUUGACCUCGGAUCAGGUAGGGAUACCCGCUGAACUUAAGCAUAUCAAUAAGCGGAGGA
This 329-nucleotide unclassified non-coding RNA is filed under the name soil metagenome. Its description in RNAcentral is "partial contains 5.8S ribosomal RNA, internal transcribed spacer 2, and large subunit ribosomal RNA". The stretch from base 1 to 120 matches the Rfam family "5.8S ribosomal RNA", at positions 35 to 154 of the family's 154-position model. The record is from RNAcentral.